CUGCCUGCCAGUCCAAACGGAGGGGACGAAGAAGAAGCAGCGGCGGCGGCUGUAGAAGAAGGAGGAAGAAGGUGAACGAAGAGGAGGUCCGCCAUCUUCGUGAGGUCGAAGCUCUGCAGCGAUGCCAAGACAUUGCUCAGCGGGCGGCUGCAAAUCUCGGGACAAUCGUGAGACCCGGGAUGCUGGUAUCACCUUUCACAAGUUACCGAAAGGAGAAACCAGGAGGCACCUCUGGAUCACCAACUCCCACCGUGCAGACUCCUGGGAUCCUCAGACUGACUUUGUCUACUUUUGCUCCAAACAUUUCACCCCAGAGAGUUUUGAGCUGACUGGAUGCAGUGGGAUCAGAAGACUCAGGGAAGAUGCCUUUCCGACAGUAUUUGAUUCGUCUUCAACAACCAAAUGCAAAAGACCAAAAACGCUGCCGAAACAAGAAGACGUUCCUGCCAGGAAGGAUUCCCACUCGGACGAGCAGGAGCGCAAACAACAAGAGACAGACAAGAAUCAGACUUUAAAAGAACCCACAGCUCAGAAGUCGGUGGCAGCAGCUGAGGAGAACCAUGAAAACAUACCUGCGUCUUCUCAGGAGCCGUCAGGGGUGGAGCAGCUCUCACAGCAAGAACGUAGCCCGUCUCCACCGCCGGCGUCUCGUCCCCCUUCCCCGUCUCGUUACAUGAGGCGCCUUCCUCCUCCUCCAGGUUUCUACCUGUCGAAGGAACACAGCUACGCUCAGCUCUCACCCCUGCUGUGGAGGAGACGUUACGACCAGGCCAUAGACUGCUUGGAGAAGGCGUUACGGCAGCUGCACGCGGCCAGGCGGAGGGAGAACCGGCUGCGGAGCACCGUGCUGAGGCUCCGUGAUAAGAGGCUGAAGCAGGCUCUGCUCGUGCCACGAGACGGUUGUAGAAAAAGGGGGAGCUGGACACCAGAGGCGGAGAGACGAGGCGAUAACCAGGAGGAGAGCGAGAGUGACACUAAAUCUGAGGAAACAGAUGUGUUUCAGGACAGAUGUGUGGAUCAGAUGGAGCUGGGCGGUCAUUUUCUUCCAGAUGCCAACAGCUGGUCUGAAGAGGAGAAAGGAUACUGCUUUUACUGUGGGAGAGGACAGGCACAGGCUGGUGAUCAGGUAGUACGCAGAGUUUCAAAGACUGAGGAAUAUGCUCAUCAGGACUCACUGACAAUCGAGACAAGCGUUGAAACGAGUACUUGUGGCACAGCCAAAGAGAAACGGAUAGUCAGGUUGAAAAGACCGCCUGGGAAAACGAGCGUAGAAACGAGCGACUCAGAUGUAACAAACACCAAAAUCCUGCUUCAAACUCAAAGUCUUCAACACGUACUCCCAGCCGCAGUGUCUCUGACUGAUAUUCACGAGCAGAGUUUGCCGUUUUUAGGCUCUCAGCAGAAGCCGCUGCUCUCUGACAUGUGUCAAACUGCAGCCAUGGUUCGGGAGCACCACCCAGACCAGCAGCAGCAGCAGCAGCAGAAGCAGCAGCUGUUUUGGAUACAGGACAGUCCUGAAGGACAGAUCAUACUGGUGCCUGUACCCGCUGAAGACGAUUUACAAAGCAUCCUAAAGAUGGAGGGAGUCGCGGACGAAGCACAAACCAUACUGGUGUCGGAGGUCGAUCUUAAACGACGCAUAGCGGAGAACAGCGGAGGUGGAACAGUCUGCGAUGGUGACCAGCAGUCUGUCAUGAACGCUGCGUCGGUGGAAAUGAGAGAAGACGUGAGGGAGAAACUUAAAGAACACCUGGAGGGUUUUCACCUGCAGCUGAGCACCGAGUUUCUGAACUGACAGCAGAGAGUUAACUGAACGAUUCAUUUGUGCCAUGAAUAGUUGAAUAUGCCGUGAGUUGUGUAGACUAUGAUGUUGUUUUUGAGAAGCUUUAAAGCCGUUUUAGAUGAAUGCUUUUCGUGUGCAGCGCCAAACCCACAAUGGAGCAAACUACAAACUGCGUGUCAGUCUGAUGACGAGUCUCCAUCCAUCGUUACGAACUACAGACGAAUCAUUGAGCCUUUUUUAAAUUAUAUAUUGACAAUUACAGGCAGGCAAACCAACCAGCGACCUCCAUGGUUGGGAAAUGAAGCACAAGUGCCAAAAACUGCAGUUCCUCAAACGUCCACUUGAGGCUGGCUCCAGAAGUGGGUGCCGGUACAGAUAGCCCAAGCAUCAUUCGGUCUGCCGAUGAUCCACUGCUUUGUCGCAAACUCCUCAUCUGUUAACAAAGAUAAGUGCUGAAUCCACCAUUUGUGUGAUUUCUGUAUAUCAGUUUUUUUAAUUAAGGGGGUCGUUGGGAAUGACACAAGAACUACACGGUCUGGCGAAAUUAUAUUUAAUAUUUCUAUAAUCCGACUUGUUAGAAAUACCUUCAGAGCCCUGCCGAGAGGAAACGUUUGAUUCUUAGCUGCUUCUACUUCCUGAAAUCUUUUCUAUUCAUGGUCUACACAAUGAGCAGAAGCUCCAUCACGUGGAAGCAGACGCAUGAAUGUAACCGAUCAAGUAAAAACCGCACAUCCUUUUGCAAAACUUAAACGUUAGAGACGAACUCUAAAUAUAUUUGACAUGUUUUCAUGAUUCCCAGACCUCUUUACUCAGAUCUAUCACCGAGAAACCUCUGAUUCUGUCACCACUUCACGUUAAGUCAACCAGCAUAAUGACUGUUUAUACAACUAAAUCCCACUCCUCUGAUUCAUUGGGGCGCGUUCAUGGUUAGUCAGCUCUGCAGGCUCUGGAGGAGCAGAGAAAACAAGCCUCGGAGUGUACACAUGAAUAAAAGAAAUCCUUGGCAUGUGGAAGAUGUUCAACAGGCAGGGAGGGUCUAAGGAAGAGAUGUGGCAUUAUGGGUAUUGUAGGACUCGUAGCAAAGUCUGGAAGUUUUGGAAAGGAGGAGCGCCGUGUCAUAUCAUGGGAAUGUUU
Molecule: RNA transcript, 2917 nt
Organism: Larimichthys crocea (large yellow croaker)
Lineage: Eukaryota; Metazoa; Chordata; Actinopteri; Sciaenidae
Gene: thap7
Gene name: THAP domain containing 7
Exons: 6
Source: RefSeq, a predicted model, not a curated record